This 194-nucleotide unclassified non-coding RNA is filed under the name Basidiomycota sp. RNAcentral's name for it is "partial contains small subunit ribosomal RNA, internal transcribed spacer 1, and 5.8S ribosomal RNA". The stretch from base 1 to 47 matches the Rfam family "Eukaryotic small subunit ribosomal RNA", at positions 1785 to 1831 of the family's 1831-position model. The record is from RNAcentral. Lineage: Eukaryota; Fungi; Basidiomycota.
AAAGUCGUAACAAGGUUUCCGUAGGUGAACCUGCGGAAGGAUCAUUAGUGAAUUGCUCUCUGAGCGUUAAACUAUAUCCAUCUACACCUGUGAACUGUUGAUUGACUUCGGUCAAUUACUUUUACAAACAUUGUGUAAUGAACGUCAUGUUAUUAUAACAAAAAUAACUUUCAACAACGGAUCUCUUGGCUCUC